This 373-nucleotide ribosomal RNA is filed under the name uncultured bacterium. RNAcentral describes it as "bacterial SSU rRNA". It matches the Rfam family "Bacterial small subunit ribosomal RNA", at positions 527 to 898 of the family's 1533-position model. The record is from RNAcentral.
GUAGGGGGCAAGCGUUGUCCGGAUUUAUUGGGCGUAAAGCGCGUGUAGGCGGCCAGGUAGGUCCGCUGUGAAAACCCGAGGCUCAACCUCGGGACGUCGGCGGAAACCCUUUGGCUAGAGUCCGGAAGAGGAGAGUGGAAUUCCCGGUGUAGCGGUGAAAUGCGCAGAUAUCGGGAAGAACACCCGUGGCGAAGGCGGCUCUCUGGGACGGUACUGACGCUGAGACGCGAAAGCGUGGGGAGCGAACAGGAUUAGAUACCCUGGUAGUCCACGCCGUAAACGAUGGGUGCUAGGUGUAGGCGGUGUCGACUCCGUCUGUGCCGAAGUUAACGCAUUAAGCACCCCGCCUGGGGAGUACGGCCGCAAGGCUAAA